GAUGAAGAACGUAGCGAAAUGCGAUAAGUAAUGUGAAUUGCAGAAUUCAGUGAAUCAUCGAAUCUUUGAACGCACAUUGCGCCCGCCAGUAUUCUGGCGGGCAUGCCUGUUCAAGCGUCAUUACAACCCUCAGGCCCCCGGGCCUGGCGUUGGGGAUCGGCGGAAGCCCCCUGUGGGCACACGCCGUCCCUCAAAUACAGUGGCGGUCCCGCCGCAGCUUCCAUUGCGUAGUAGCUAACACCUCGCAACUGGAGAGCGGCGCGGCCAUGCCGUAAAACACCCAACUUCUGAAUGUUGACCUCGAAUCAGGUAGGAAUACCCGCUGAACUUAAGCAUAUCAAUAAGCGGAGGA
Molecule: unclassified non-coding RNA, 352 nt
Filed under: soil metagenome
Description: partial contains 5.8S ribosomal RNA, internal transcribed spacer 2, and large subunit ribosomal RNA
Rfam family: 5.8S ribosomal RNA (bases 1-120)
Source: RNAcentral